Non-coding RNA from Meleagris gallopavo (turkey), 487 nucleotides. NCBI's taxonomy places the organism in Eukaryota, Metazoa, Chordata, Aves, Galliformes, Phasianidae. The record is from RefSeq and is a predicted model, not a curated record.
UACUUUCAAAAUCUUUUUCAGCUUUCUGAAACAAAAGUCUUCACUGCUUCCUCUGUUCCAACUGAGAAUCAUGUGAUUCCUGAGCAAAGCAUUGAUUUGGUGGCAUUGCUUCAAAAGACUGUGACCUCCACUCAAGAGACAGAAGGCAACUCAUUUGAAGCUCCUCAGCAGCAGACUUUUGGCCAAGCCCUAGUCUUCACAAAUACUCAGCACAGCUCUCAGAUGGUAUCAGGAACUGGCAGUUCCAGUGCUGUAAACUCCUGUUCUUCUCAGAGUCUGUCUGCAGUUCUUUCUUCUGGCUUUGGAGAACUUGGAUCCUCUAAAUUGGCAAACUCUACUGGAUCCCAAAUUUUGGAACAACUAAAAUCCCCAGAUCUGGGUCAGUUUACCUCUCAACAAAACAAUAGUAACUCUACCAAUGCUACCAUAACUGCCGCAUCAUCUUGGAGUCUAAAACCACCCAUUACUCAGUCCUCAGUCAUCAGUC